Saccoglossus kowalevskii is the source of this 1434-nucleotide long non-coding RNA. RefSeq lists it as uncharacterized. The record is from RefSeq and is a predicted model, not a curated record. Lineage: Eukaryota; Metazoa; Hemichordata; Enteropneusta; Harrimaniidae.
CACAAUCCGUGAGCAGAAUACACGAUGAGGAAAGAGACUUUAUUUUGUAUGUUGAUGGUGUUCACGGUAUUAUGUCUAAUCGGCAACACUAAUGCACAGAAUAAUACUACCACCGUUGAACCAGGUACCACAGAGCAAAAUAAUGACACGGUGGUAGUGCAGACGACAAUGGCGAGCGGGAAUUCAACCGAAGGUUCUGCCGGGAGCCACUACGUUGCGUUACCACUCGUCAUUUUAUCACUGUUAACACUUCUUCCAUAAGUGUCCAGCAGCUAGAAAAUGAUCUGUGUAAAGAUGAUCUACUGCCAGCGUGAAACCAAAGAAUCUUGCAAGUACAAACUACAGCGACUUUGAAUGAAGACAUUUACUUACUAGAUUCUUCUUUUUUUCUUCUCACACCCUAAAGUAUUUCCUCAAAAUAUAUUGUAAACCGUUUAAUUUUCACUGCCAGAAAUGUUUGCGAUUUGUGAAACUUAUGGCAUUCCUGAAGACAAAAUUUCGCGAAAGUCAUUGAAGCUUCGCGUCGUGAGACAUCGAAGAAAUUUUCACUGCUAAAAAAUUUCGUGAUUUCCACUGAUUUGCGAAAAAUUGUCUUUUGCAAAUAUGAAGCAGUUUAACAGUACACAAUAUCACCACGCCCUAAAUUUAAGGUUUUGUUAUACUAAACGUCCCGUUGUCCGGGUGUGCACUCUUCCGUUGAACACAAAAUAAGACUAUAUUUGGAGAAAAGUACUACCUCUUUGUUAAACCCACUUUCAGAAAAUCAAUAAUAAAAUACUCUUCAUAGAUAUCUCUAUGACGAAGAUGUUUUGGACUGAAUACUAAAAUAAGUUGUACGUUCUAUGACUGCUAUUCUGUUUUGAUUUUCUUUUGUAAAUUCGCAGGAAAUUUAUUUCUGACCCUACAUUUUGUAGCACGUCGCCCAUAAUGCCGUGCGUAACUGUGGCCAAGUAACAGUGAAUCUCGAAACGCAGUCGAAAACAUACGAUUAUUCUCAGAUUGUUUACAAACUGAUAUUUGUAAAUCGGUUAUUUUGCUAUUUGUAAUUACUUGUUUUUGUCCUUUGAAGUUCGGAUCUAGAUUAAUAAUAUAAUGUAUACUGGAGGGAAUACAUAAUUAAUAUAACAAUAAAUAGAAAAUGCGUGCUGAUUUUAUGACUGCUUAUAUAGGGGUAUGACGGUACCUACGAAUAAGGGACGUGACACUGGGCAAUGUAAAGCCCCAAUGAUUUCGGACCCGAUAUUUCCCUAUAUAGGACGAGGCCCAUGUAUCAAGACGUAUUUUAUUAUUGUAUUACUAGUAAAUGGUGCAAAUAUGUUUUUUGUUCAGACGUUACCCUGGCUCAAUGAGGAUCAUUUCAAAAAUACACACAAGACAUUGCAAUCGUCUUUGUAUUGUUACAAUGUUAGAAAUAAAAUUCAAGAAAAGUACAGU